Molecule: ribosomal RNA, 273 nt
Filed under: uncultured prokaryote
Description: partial 16S ribosomal RNA
Rfam family: Bacterial small subunit ribosomal RNA
Source: RNAcentral
UACGUAGGGGGCGAGCGUUGUCCGAAUUCACUGGGCGUAAAGCGCGCGUAGGCGGGCAUUUAAGUUGUGGGUGAAAUCCCGAGGCUCAACCUCGGAGCUGCCUGCAAAACUGGGUGCCUGGAGGUAUGGAGAGGGAAGUGGAAUUCCUGGUGUAGCGGUGAAAUGCGUAGAUAUCAGGAGGAACACCCGUGGCGAAGGCGGCUUCCUGGCCAUAUCCUGACGCUGAGGUGCGAAAGCUAGGGGAGCGAACGGGAUUAGAAACCCCCGUAGUCC